UUUAAAGGCCGCAGUAUUUUGACUGUGCAAAGGUAGCAUAAUAAUUAGUUUUUUAAUUGAAAGCUUGUAUGAAUGGUUUGACAAGAAAAUUUCUGUCUCUUUUUAAUUAAUUAUAAUUUUAUUUUUAAGUUAAAAAGCUUAAAUAUUUUUAAAAGACGAGAAGACCCUAUAGAGUUUUAUAAAUUUUAUUAAUAAUUAAAUAUAGAAUAUAAAAAAUUAUUUAUUAAAAUUUAUUUAGUUGGGGUGAUUAAAAAAUUUUAUAAACUUUUAUUUUAAAAUAUCAUUAAUUAAUGAAUUAUUGAUCCAAUUAAUUUUUGAUUAAAAGAUUAAAUUACCUUAGGGAUAACAGCGUUAUUUUUAUUGAGAGUUCUUAUCGAAAUAAAAGUUUGCGACCUCGAUGUUGGAUUAAAAUUUAUUUUUGGUGGAGAAGCUAAAAAAUUGGGUCUGUUCGACCUUUAAAAUUUUACAUGAUCUGAGUUUAAACCGGCGUGAGCCAGGUUGGUUUCUAUCUUUAAAUAGUAAAAAUUUUUUAGUACGAAAGGACCAAAAAUUUAUAAUAAUUAUUUUAUUAGAUUAAUAUUA
RNAcentral lists this ribosomal RNA (582 nucleotides) under Habrocerus capillaricornis. RNAcentral's name for it is "partial 16S ribosomal RNA". The stretch from base 342 to 500 matches the Rfam family "Bacterial large subunit ribosomal RNA", at positions 2473 to 2632 of the family's 2925-position model. Lineage: Eukaryota; Metazoa; Arthropoda; Insecta; Coleoptera; Staphylinidae. The record is from RNAcentral.